UUACUGAGUGAGGGCUCACGCCCGACCUCCAACCCUUUGUGAACACAUCUUGUUGCUUCGGGGGCGACCCUGCCGGCACUACGUCGCCGGGCGCCCCCGAAGGUCUCCAAACACUGCAUCUUUGCGUCGGAGUUUAAACAAAUUAAACAAAACUUUCAACAACGGAUCUCUUGGUUCUGGCAUCGAUGAAGAACGCAGCGAAAUGCGAUAAGUAAUGUGAAUUGCAGAAUUCAGUGAAUCAUCGAAUCUUUGAACGCACAUUGCGCCCUUUGGUAUUCCGAAGGGCAUGCCUGUUCGAGCGUCAUUUCACCACUCAAGCCUGGCUUGGUAUUGGGCGUCGCGGCUCCGCGCGCCUUAAAGUCUCCGGCUGAGCCAUUCGUCUCUAAGCGUUGUGGAUUUUCUAAUUCGCUUCGGAGUGCGGGUGGCCGCGGCCGUUAAAUCUUUACUCAAGGUUGACCUCGGAUCAGGUAGGGAUACCCGCUGAACUUAAGCAUAUCAAUAAGCGGAGGAAAAGAAACCAACAGGGAUUGCCCUAGUAACGGCGAGUGAAGCGGCAACAGCUCAAAUUUGAAAUCUGGCGCAAGCCCGAGUUGUAAUUUG
Molecule: ribosomal RNA, 600 nt
Filed under: fungal endophyte
Lineage: Eukaryota; Fungi
Description: eukaryotic LSU rRNA
Rfam family: 5.8S ribosomal RNA (bases 151-304)
Source: RNAcentral